This 468-nucleotide ribosomal RNA is filed under the name uncultured bacterium. Its description in RNAcentral is "partial 16S ribosomal RNA". It matches the Rfam family "Bacterial small subunit ribosomal RNA", at positions 28 to 507 of the family's 1533-position model. The record is from RNAcentral.
GACGAACGCUGGCGUCGUGCUUAACACAUGCAAGUCGAACGGAAAGGCCCUGCUUUUGUGGGGUGCUCGAGUGGCGAACGGGUGAGUAACACGUGAGUAACCUGCCCUUGACUUUGGGAUAACUUCAGGAAACUGGGACUAAUACCGGAUAGGAGCUCCUGCUGCAUGGUGGGGGUUGGAAAGUUUCGGCGGUUGGGGAUGGACUCGCGGCUUAUCAGCUUGUUGGUGGGGUAGUGGCUUACCAAGGCUUUGACGGGUAGCCGGCCUGAGAGGGUGACCGGCCACAUUGGGACUGAGAUACGGCCCAGACUCCUACGGGAGGCAGCAGUGGGGAAUAUUGCACAAUGGGCGGAAGCCUGAUGCAGCAACGCCGCGUGCGGGAUGACGGCCUUCGGGUUGUAAACCGCUUUCGCCUGUGACGAAGCGUGAGUGACGGUAAUGGGUAAAGAAGCACCGGCUAACUACGUG